CCUACGGGAGGCAGCAGUGGGGAAUCUUGGGCAAUGGGCGCAAGCCUGACCCAGCAACGCCGCGUGAAGGAAGCAGCCUUUCGGGUUUUAAACUUCUUUCUCAGGGACGAAGACAGUGACUAUACCUGAGGGAUCCGCCACGGCUAACUACGUGCCAGCCGACGCGGUAAUACGGAGGUGGCCAGCGUUAGCCGGAUUUAUUGCGUGGAAAGGGCGUGUAGGCGGGAGGGCAAGUAUGAUGUGAAACCUCAGGGCUCAACCCUUAGCCUGCAUUUGACACUGUGUGUCUUGAGUGCUGGAGAGGCAAUCGGAAUUCGGGGGGUAGCGGGGAAAGGCGUAGAGAUAAGGAGGAACACCAGUGGCGAAGGCGGAUUGCUGGACAGUAACUGACGCUGAGGCGCGAAAGCGAGGGGAGCAAACAGGAUUAGAUACCCCUGUAGUC
Molecule: ribosomal RNA, 442 nt
Filed under: uncultured bacterium
Lineage: Bacteria
Description: partial 16S ribosomal RNA
Rfam family: Bacterial small subunit ribosomal RNA
Source: RNAcentral